GACGAACGCUGGCGGUGCGCUUAACACAUGCAAGUCGAACGGAAAGGCCUGCUUUCCCUUGUGGAUUGCGGGUACUCGAGUGGCGAACGGGUGAGUAACACGUGAGUGAUCUGCCCCCAACUUGGGUAUAAGCCUGGGAAACUGGGUCUAAUUCCCGAUAGGACUGCAGGGUGGUGCCUGUGGUGGAAAACGAUUUUCUAGUGGUUGGGGAUGAGCUCGCGGCCUAUCAGCUUGUUGGUGGGGUAAUGGCCUACCAAGGCGGCGACGGGUAGCCGGCCUGGGAGGGUGGACGGCCACAUUGGGACUGAGAUACGGCCCAGACUCCUACGGGAGGCAGCAGUGGGGAAUAUUGCACAAUGGGCGGAAGCCUGAUGCAGCGACGCCGCGUGGGGGAUGACGGCCUUCGGGUUGUAAACUCCUUUCGACCGCGAGGAAGCCACCUGGUUGGAAGGGUGGUGACGGUAGUGGUAGAAGAAGCACCGGCUAACUACGUG
RNAcentral lists this ribosomal RNA (494 nucleotides) under uncultured bacterium. RNAcentral describes it as "partial 16S ribosomal RNA". It matches the Rfam family "Bacterial small subunit ribosomal RNA", at positions 28 to 507 of the family's 1533-position model. The record is from RNAcentral.